AUGCAUACCUGGCAGGGGAGAUACCGUGACCAUGAUGGUGGUUCUCCCAGGGAGAGACUUACACAUUGCACUCUGGCUGUGCUGACCCUGUGAUUUCCCCCAAAUAUGGAAAACUCGACUGCAUCAUUUGUCGUAGUGGGGGACUGCAUUCGUGCUUUCCCCUA
Molecule: small nuclear RNA, 164 nt
Organism: Molossus molossus (Pallas's mastiff bat)
Lineage: Eukaryota; Metazoa; Chordata; Mammalia; Chiroptera; Molossidae
Product: U1 spliceosomal RNA
Exons: 1
Source: RefSeq, a predicted model, not a curated record